This is a long non-coding RNA of Pyrgilauda ruficollis (rufous-necked snowfinch), 981 nucleotides long. RefSeq lists it as uncharacterized. The record is from RefSeq and is a predicted model, not a curated record. NCBI's taxonomy places the organism in Eukaryota, Metazoa, Chordata, Aves, Passeriformes, Passeridae. The transcript has 2 exons.
CCAAAUACUUUCUGAGGAGUGGAGACGGUACCACAGACCAAACUUCUUGAACUGAUACCGGCCCGCUGUUCUGGGCAGAUGUCAGAGGGCACUUUCUUGUUUGCUGGAGAUCCCUGUAUUCCUGGGACUGGAAACUGGAAAAUACAGAAGCCAGGUGAGCCAAAAUCCCCAAAGAUUCUCCCUGCUCACCUCAGAAAUGUUGCCAGCACUGCUGGUGGACAGCACACAGAGCUGUGCUUCUAACAGACUUCCUUCUUGAUCAAGGAUGGAGGGGAAACGUUGCCUUCUUACACACGCAGAUAAAGGAACAGAAAACAUAGAGAUUCCUUCUAAGGUGUUCAUGAGUCACCCUUUUACCUUUGAGCUUCAGUUUUUAAUUUAAAGGAAGUUUUAGCCUUGAUGACUCUUAAGAAAAACAUGAGAACAUGACCUGACAAUAUUAAAUACAUGUGAAACCCUUGAAACAACAGUUUACCUGAAGCUCAGACAGACAUGCUGCAGUGGGAUUGUGACUAAGAGCUGUACUGCUCUGCAGAUCACAUUUCCUCCUGGCUAUUCAGCUAGUGCUGAAGCAACAGGAGUACAGCAGGCCCAGGCCUGGCACUGAUCAUGUGUACUUUGGCUCCAACUGCUUGAAACCUCCAAAGGCAUCUUCUACUCUAGAUGGAAGCAAAGGUCUCCUGAUGGCAUAAAAUCUUCUGCUGCUAUUCUGCCUUUCUGGUUGAUGACUCUUGUGCACAUGUCCCAGAGCAGGAGUAAGGGUACAGGUAUAGGUGGCAUAAAAUGGAGGUAUGCUUACAGCCACAGACCAAUUGAUUCUGAGAAUGCUGGUAUUUUUAAUAGGAAUAAUUUAUGGGUUUUAUCCACCAGGAUUAGUUUUGCUUUUAUUUGAAAUUAGGUUCUUUUUGUACUUCGGUGUUUGAAGAACACUUUCCACCAUUCCACUAGAUGUAUUCUUUUGCAUUAAAUCUCAAGCAUGAA